RNAcentral lists this long non-coding RNA (239 nucleotides) under Citrus sinensis (sweet orange). RNAcentral describes it as "long non-coding RNA (CSIN_LNC003371)". The record is from RNAcentral. Lineage: Eukaryota; Viridiplantae; Streptophyta; Magnoliopsida; Sapindales; Rutaceae.
UUUAGGGGGAGUUUGUUCUUAAAUUUUAUUUAUAAGUUGAAGUCAUGUAUGCCAUGUAUUAAGGGGGAGUUUAAUGUCAAAAUACAUGAGAUGUUUGUCAUCAUCAAAAAGGGGGAGAUUGUUAGCCUAAAGGGCUACACAUAAUGUAAUUUUGAUGAUAACAAACAUGUGUCUUAAGUAAAAAUAAUAAAUAUUGUAUUUCACAUUUUCACUAGUUUUUUAAGGAUAAUAUUUAUGCA